Syzygium oleosum is the source of this 1394-nucleotide long non-coding RNA. RefSeq lists it as uncharacterized. The record is from RefSeq and is a predicted model, not a curated record. The transcript has 3 exons. Lineage: Eukaryota; Viridiplantae; Streptophyta; Magnoliopsida; Myrtales; Myrtaceae.
AGAAAAAGAGAGAGUUGAAGUCGAAGAGCCAAAAGUAAAAUACCACCCGACGUCAUCCUCGAGAUCGUUCCCGGCUCCGGUGACCUCACCAAGAAGCUCCUCGGCGCCGGCAAGUCUGUACUUGCCGUCGAGCUGGGCCUUUGCGUGGUUCUCGAGCUCCAGCGCUGGUUCUAGGGGACCCCUUACCAGAAUGGUUCGAAGGGUUUGGGAGAACCUACGUUGAGCGAGAUUGAGCAAACCUUCGACGAGAGGUGACACACAUUCCCGCUCGAUGAUCUGCUAAACCAGUUUUUCCGACCUUGCUCCGGGACGGUCGCGACAUUACUCAAUGCAAUUAAGAUAAGUGACCGCAUUAUUCUCUACCCUUUUUUUCUAUCACUAGACAAAAUUGUUUUUUUAAAUUGCUAUCUCACCUCAUUUCUCCUCUCUUCUUGGUGCCUAAGUUUUGAAGAGCUCUUCCCAUCUCGUCUUCUAAUGACAAAACAUGUUGUGUAUAUAUAAAAUAGAUGGCGUUCAGAGUGUGUUCAACAGUUGGUGAUUGUCUUAAUUUCGGCAUUCCCACUGGACAUCAUCACGCGAUGGGAGACAUGACUUUGAAGGAUGAGCCCCCAAAGGAAUAAUGUAGCUCUUUGUUUGCAUUGUUGCGGGCUGCCAAAGACAGCAUCAUGAGCAGAGAAGCAACACAAAAAUCUGGAGUUCCUCAAAUUAUCAAAUAGGACAUGGCUUUGAAUCUGGCUGAACAAUGGGUCAAUAAUAUGACCAAAGUUUCCAAGGACGAGCAAAUACAGGCAGAAUCCGAGGGUUGACCGUCUAGGUCAGUAUCGGCCAUCUUCUUAAUAUUCCCAUGUAAUAUUUCCCUAGAUGUUUGCAUUGUUAAGUCGAAUUCAAAUCUUCCUAUAGACUCGGUCUUGGUGCAAAGUUUUCAUGUCAAAUGAGACCUGGACCUUCGAAUGAUCCCGUGGAAAGGAAAUUGUAUGCUGACUUGCAGUCUGGAAAAAGAAAAUGCGAAAGAUGCUGAGGAGUCUGGCCUAACUGCUACAGAUCCAGGCGGUGAUAGUGGUAUCGAUGACUAGUUAGAAAGCAGAGCAUGUGCUUUUGCAAAGAAGAGAGUAAUUACUCCACCCGUCUCUUUAACAAUGAAGAAGAAACGGAGAUAAACACUUGAAAGGUUUAUUUUUUUGGUCGUCGAAAGGAAAACCUGGACUGUUUGAACAGGGUUAGUUCUUCCAUAAGAUUAUUCCCCUUGUUUGCUGAGAUGGAAAUACAAUAGGGAUUCUUCAUUUCCCUACUACUCCAUAAGAGAGGGCCACUUGUCCAUUGACUUUCCAAUGUGCUAGCCAAGUGAGGCUUGAUACAAUGGCUAAUCUAUUAUGUUGCUAGUUUUGAUUUUCUUA